Molecule: long non-coding RNA, 4862 nt
Organism: Eriocheir sinensis (Chinese mitten crab)
Lineage: Eukaryota; Metazoa; Arthropoda; Malacostraca; Decapoda; Varunidae
Exons: 2
Source: RefSeq, a predicted model, not a curated record
UUUUUUUUUAUAACUUGUCCGUCCAUCUUUCUUUCAGUAAUUUAUAGUCACCUUUAUUUUAUUCACAUGCCUCUCCAUUAUCUUUUUUCCUCCUUAUUUCCUCGUCAAACUAUCUUCUUAUCACCCAUCAUUCUCUUCCCUUCAACUUUCCUGGUCUAUCUUCCUCGUAAUAACUGAUAGCAAGGUUCAUUUAUUUUACAUGCCUCUCCGUCAUUUUUUUUCUUCUACCUUCCCUCGUCAAGCUAUCUUCUCAUCACCCAUCAUUCUCUUCCCUUCAACUUUCCUGGUCUAUCUUUCUCGUAAUAACUGAUAGCAAGGUUCAUUUAUAACAUACCUCUCCAUCUUUUUUCCUUCUACCUUCCCUCGUCAAGCUAUCUUCUCAUCACCCAUCAUUCUCUUCUCUUCAACUUUCCUGGUCUAUCUUUCUCGUAAUAACUGAUUGCAAGGUUCAUUUAUUCCCACACCUUUCUCUCAUAAUUUUUCCUUCUGCUUUCCCUCGUCAAGCUAUCUCCUCAUCACCCAUCCUUAUCUUCCCUUCAACUUUCCUGGUCUAUCUUCCUCGUAAUAACUGAUAACAGGGUUCAUUUAUUCCCACACCUUUCUCUCAUAAUUUUUCCUUCUACUUUCCCUCGUCAAGCUAUCUUCUCAUCACCCAUCCUUCUCUUCCCUUCAACUUUCCUUGUCUCUCUCCCUCGAAAUAACUGAUUGCAAGGUUCAUUUAUUCACAAACUCUUCCUUCAUUUCCUCCACUCACUGCUACCUCAUCCAGGGACUUGUUGGUGGGUUCUUCUAAUCCCUAAUACUCUACACCCUCAGGUUAAGGCAGAGGAGGAAGGUUUAGAUAAGACAGUAUUAAGUGGAAUCUAUUUUUAUUGAAGUCAAGUCGUGAGGGGAAGCAAUUUCUGGCUCCUAGGUCGUGAGGGGAAGCAAUUUCUGGCUCCUAGGUCGUGAGGGGAAGCAAUUUCUGGCUCCUAGGUCGUGAGGGGAAGCAAUUUCUGGCUCCUAGGUCGUGAGGGGAAGCAAUUUCUGGCUCCUAGGUCGUGAGGGGAAGCAAUUUCUGGCUCCUAGGUCGUGAGGGGAAGCAAUUUCUGGCUCCUAGGUCGUGAGGGGAAGCAAUUUCUGGCUCCUUAUACUCAAAUGUUCAAGGUUAGACAGUCUUCAGGAUGGAGAUAACUUGUGUUCACCCCGACAGAGAUUGAACUGGUCUCUCAGCACUCUUCAACACCACCACACUGAGGUUAGAAAGCGCGCACCCUACCCCUUACCAAGCCUGAACUCUGUAGGAGGCAGCCAUGGCCUUAUUCGACUUCCAGCACAGGCUUUCAUGACAUAUAUGGCCUGUGGUGGAGUAGGUUGAAGAUGUGGCUGCCUCCUAAUGAGUUGAGGCUGGGUGAGAGGCAGGGCGAGUCUCACUUCUAACCUCUGAGUACUGGCGGCAUUAACGAGCGCUGAGAGGGUGACUCAAUCCCUGUCUAAAUAUGGCCUUUGAGAAUAUUAAAGAUGGUUGCUAGCUCAGGUUAGGUACUACUUCUAACCUCUUUACUGGUGGCAUCAAAGAGUGCUGAGAGGGUGACUCAAUCCCUGUCUAAAUAUGGCCUUUGAGAACAUUUAAGAUGGUUGCUAGCUCAGGUUAGGUACUACUUCUAACCUCUUUACUGGUGGCAUCAAAGAGUGCUGAGAGGGUGACUCAAUCCCUGUCUAAAUAUGGCCUUUGAGAACAUUAAAGAUGGUUGCUGAAGCUCAGGUUAGGUACAGGUACUUAAGUUGACUGAAAAUUUCCAUCCAUUACAGAGUGCUGGGAGUACAACCUUGGCCUUCAGAAGAGACAUGAUGCGGCAAACCAGCUGAGCCUCUGAUGUGCUGGAAGGCCACCGCACCAGAGGCCACUUCUGCAGCCUGUACCAGACACCCCGGCCCCCACUGUGGACAUGAAGGAAAGGCGACCCACUUACACUCGUGGUGGGUGGCAAGGCUUUAAAUUAACCCAGACUGGUGCGUGUGGUGUAGAUAUAAAAAUGCAAUGACACAUGUAUAAGCAGACCAUGUGCCGUUGUGAGUCGAAAAAACCCUUGCCAGCCACCACGAGGAAGGGCAGGUCACCUUUCCUUCAUGUCCACAGUGGGGGCCGGGGUGUGGUGUCAAGUGCUGCAGAAGUGACCUGUAGAACACUGACCUUUAAGCUUAUCAGUGGCUCAGUUCGUGUGCUGCCCAGACACCUAUUCUGAGGGUCUGGGUUCGACUCUCGGUACUCAACUAGUUAUGUACAUUAUGAGAUAUUUCACUGCAUAAUUCCAGCUGUUCUGAUGGAUACUGCUUUAGUGUAUGUACAUUUUGAGAUUCUUCACUGCAUAAUUCCAGCUCUUCUGAUGGAUACUGCUUUAGUUUUUAUGAGAUAUUUCACUGCAUAAUUCCAGCUGUUCUGAUGGAUACUGCUUUAGUGUAUGUACAUUAUGAGAUAUUUCACUGCAUAAUUCCAGCUGUUCUGAUGGAUACUGCUUUAGUGUAUGUACAUUAUGAGAUAUUUCACUGCAUAAUUCCAGCUGUUCUGAUGGAUACUGCUUUAGUGUAUGUACAUUAUGAGAUAUUUCACUGCAUAAUUCCAGCUGUUCUGAUGGAUACUACUUUAGUGUAUGUACAUUAUGAGAUAUUUCACUGCAUAAUUCCAGCUGUUCUGAUGGAUACUGCUUUAGUGUAUGUACAUUUUGAGAUAUUUCACUGCAUAAUUCCAGCUGUUCUGAUGGAUACUGCUUUAGUGUAUGUACAUUUUGAGAUAUUUCACUGCAUAAUUCCAGCUGUUCUGAUGGAUACUGCUUUAGUGUAUGUACAUUUUGAGAUAUUUCACUGCAUAAUUCCAGCUGUUCUGAUGGAUACUACUUUAGUGUAUGUACAUUAUGAGAUAUUUCACUGCAUAAUUCCAGCUUUUCUGAUGGAUACUGCUUUAGUGUAUGUACAUUAUGAGAUAUUUCACUGCAUAAUUCCAGCUUUUCUAAUGGAUACUGCUUUAGUGUAUGUACAUUAUGAGAUAUUUCACUGCAUAAUUCUAGCUUUUCUUAUGGAUACUGCUUUAGUGUAUGUACAUUUUGAGACUCUUCACUGCAUAAUUCCAGUUUAGUGUAACCAGUAAAGACAUUUGAUUCAAGAGGAGAUUUUUGUUCUAUUCUAAUAUUUCUUCCUCAGGCUUCCCAGGGAGGCGGACAGACGUGAGACAGCCAAUGAGAGCCUAAUGAGAGGAGACAGAAGAGGAAACAACUAUACAUAAGAGAAGGAAGCAGAACUGAGGAGGAAGAGCGAGAACACUGAUUGUGAUAAAGGAAAGGAGUGAGGAGAAGAAAGAAAAGGAGACAAAGAAGAAACAUAUAAGAAGCAGAAGUAGACAGGGCAGUAGGUGUGUGUCUGUACCAGUCUGUAUGGAGGCAACGGUGAUUAGGAGAGACAGACUGAGCGAGGGACGGCAUACCUUUGUCCCACCUGGUCUAUGUCUCCCAAACACUUGCUUCCACACAAACCAUACCUACUGCUAUCUUCACUGCUUCUUAGUCCUUAUAUGUCCCUUCCUUUCCUUCCACUAUGCUCUUCCUUCUCUUUCCUUCAGUGCCAUCUCCUUUCUUCUUUUAUCAAGUUGUGUGUUGUUCCCUCUUCUCUCUCCUCUUGUGGGUAGGUAGUCUCGGUCCACUCCUCUGCUGUCCAAUACUCUACAGUGUAUGAUCCUCUCUUGUAUAUGCAUUCUCUCUCUACAGGUGAAGGACUCUGGAUACUGCUGUGAAGGUGGAUUUGGAUUCUCUUCUGGAGCCUGACGUACUCUUACACUGGAUGCUGGCCGAUGUCUGGACUCUGCUGUGUUGGUGAUAACCCUUCUGCUAUGGAUUUCCGAGGCUGUGUUAUAUAUCGUUUUUCUGGAAUAUCUUGGUAAGUAUCUGUUGGAUCACUCUGAUACUUUGCCACAGUUUGUUUCACACCCUCCGCUAAUAUUUUUCGGCAUAGUGCAUUAUUAUCAGAGGGUGUGAGGAAGGCACAGACUCUUGACACUUGAAGGGAAAUAGCGAAAUGAAAGGACAGUAAUCGGACAGGGCCAGCGUGUCGUCUCUCUCUCUCUCGAAACAUUUAUUCACUUCUAACGAGCUCCAGGAAGAGGCGAUUCAAUCCUUUGAUAAGCUGACCAAUAAGAUGCUGAGAUUUGCAACACUUAUAGAAGACAGUGUUGUAGAGGAUCGAAGAUGCUUAACUGGUAUCAAGUGAACCCAUUAAUAGAGUUGAGUGCGUGUUUUCUAUUUUCUUGAGGAUUUUGAGUUGGCAAUACUGCAACCCUCCCCUCUCCCCUCUUCUCUUCACCCGAGAAGAUACCGUGGAUAUAUAGCUGCGUAGCGGAUGUAAAUUCUGAUACUGCUGAUAAACUACGGCAACGUUUGGCAUUAAAUAGGAAAACACCGUGUGCCGUAUAUGAAAAGAAAUACUUGAAAAUUUUACACUGGCUAGAGAGAAUAAUAGAAAUAGAAGACACAUAUGCAGCUGGGCUAUAGUGGUGGGUGGGUGGGGUCUGGGGAAUGACGUCACGCUGGCCCUGUCCGAUUACUGUCCUUUCAUUUUGCUAUUUCCCUUCAAGUGUCAAGAGUCUGUGCCUUACUCACACCCUCUGAUAACAAUGCACUAUGCUGACAAAUAUUAGCGGAGGGUGUGAAACAAACUGUGGCAAAGUAUCACAGUGAUCCAACAGACACUUACCGAGAUAUUCCAGAAAAAAACGAUAUAUAACACAGCCUCGGAAAUCCAUAGUAGAGGUCCUGGGUGCUGUGUUGGACUCCUCUGCAAUUCCCUUCUGGUUGCUGUGGUUGUGUGAUCUGCAAAAUAAACCAAUCUUAGACACA